RNAcentral lists this ribosomal RNA (203 nucleotides) under Segatella hominis. Its description in RNAcentral is "Prevotella sp. BCRC 81118 partial 23S ribosomal RNA". It matches the Rfam family "Bacterial large subunit ribosomal RNA", at positions 2710 to 2925 of the family's 2925-position model. The record is from RNAcentral. Lineage: Bacteria; Pseudomonadati; Bacteroidota; Bacteroidia; Bacteroidales; Prevotellaceae.
CGGUUUACCAGUUGUGCCGCCAGGCGCACCGCUGGGUAUCUGAGUCUGGAUUGGAUAAGCGCUGAAAGCAUCUAAGUGCGAAGCCAGCCGCAAGAUGAGAACUCCAUAGAGGGUCGUCAAAGACGAUGACGUUGAUAGGAUGCAGGUGUAAAGACAGCGAUGUCAAAGCCGAGCAUUACUAAUUGCCCGAACACUUUCUUUAG